Molecule: long non-coding RNA, 539 nt
Organism: Varanus komodoensis (Komodo dragon)
Lineage: Eukaryota; Metazoa; Chordata; Lepidosauria; Squamata; Varanidae
Exons: 3
Source: RefSeq, a predicted model, not a curated record
UUUCAUCACUUUGGGGCUUUUUUUGCAGGUCAUGAAAACCACUUUCUUCCCGGUGUGUGUCCCGGUUGCAAAAUCAACAUUCCAACUGACAGUCCAAUACUACAGAAACCUAUGGCAGCUGCUCUUGAAAAAUUGAACUCGGAGAGAGACGAUGACUUCUAUUAUAAAGUGGAAGAGAUUAUUACAGCUACAAAACAGGUUGUGGCAGGAAUCAAGUAUCAAAUAGACUUUGUAGUUGGAAAGACAAAUUGUGUUAAGGCUAUGGUUCCAAAACUGAAGAAAAUUUGCACUGUGAUAGAGGAUGAGGCCCAGCAACUGUUGAGAUGUAAUGCUACGAUUUAUGAGAGAGCCUGGGAAGCUGUACUCUCGUCUAUGGUGCGAUGCAAGACUGAACAACCUCAAGAGGUAUGCACAUGCAAGCCAAAUGUAAUUGGAGAAGGAUUACUAACAAUUAAAUGGCAAAAGAUUAGUCUACCUUCCAAGGUAUUAGUAAUGAAGCUCAUUCAUCUAUCCCAUUCUAACCAAUUAUUAAGAUAAAU